CGACCCGCAGCAGUCGACGGCGUCAGCCGCGCGCCUCCAGCCGUGAAGCAGAACCCGCGUUUCGGCUGAUCUGCGCCCGCCCGUCGGCCCGAGUCCAAAACCGACCCGCGCCGCCCGCCGAACCCGAACUCCGCGCGCGCGCCUACUCCAAGCCGAGCCGCGCCUCCCUGCUGACGUGAGCCGAGCCGCUCGCGCAAGCCCCUUUCGCCAGGACUGAGCCGAGCCGAUUCUGUCCUUCUUCCAGCCGAGCCGCCAAGACAAUUUUGGCUCCUUCCACCUAGUUUUUGGUAAAUUUCCAAAUUCCCUAGCCUGCCCAGUAAUUAAAUGAGUUAAUUUGGAAAUUUAAUUAAUUUAAUUACUUUCCUCAAGAAGCAACUUGGACCAAAUAGCUGCUGCAGCUUAGGACUUCCUCAGUAGGAACUCAUCUAGCAACAUCUCGAGGUAGAGGACGAGGUAAGGGCAAAGGCAAGCUGGCGAGCGACGUGAAGUGACCGUGGCGAGCCAUAGGGGUUUUCCUGCUUCCGCACAUGUUUUACUUUACAGUUAAAUUCAUGUUUCGGCUUUCUGCAUGUUUACUUUGGUUAUUUUUGUAGAUAGGGCCCGCUUAGGGAUUUUAAACUUAACUCGUAUUUCUACAUGUUACCUUAACUAUCUUUCAUAAAUACAUUUGCUAGAUUUCUUUGCA
Molecule: long non-coding RNA, 685 nt
Organism: Cucumis melo (muskmelon)
Lineage: Eukaryota; Viridiplantae; Streptophyta; Magnoliopsida; Cucurbitales; Cucurbitaceae
Exons: 2
Source: RefSeq, a predicted model, not a curated record